GGGGGGGGCAAGCGUUGUUCGGAAUUACUGGGCGUAAAGGGCGCGUAGGUGGCCAACUAAGUCAGACGUGAAAUCCCUCGGCUUAACCGGGGAACUGCGUCUGAUACUGGAUGGCUUGAGUGUGGGAGAGGGAUGCGGAAUUCCAGGUGUAGCGGUGAAAUGUGUAGAUAUCUGGAGGAACACCGGUGGCGAAGGCGGCAUCCUGGACCACGACUGACACUGAAACGCGAAAGCCAGGGGAGCAAACGGGAUUAGAUACCCCGGUAGUCCUGGCCCUAAACGAUGAAUGCUUGGUGUGGCGGGUAUCGAUCCCUGCCGUGCCGAAGCUAACGCAUUAAGCAUUCCGCCUGGGGAGUACGGUCGCAAGGCUG
This 371-nucleotide ribosomal RNA is filed under the name uncultured bacterium. Its description in RNAcentral is "bacterial SSU rRNA". It matches the Rfam family "Bacterial small subunit ribosomal RNA", at positions 527 to 896 of the family's 1533-position model. The record is from RNAcentral.